This 429-nucleotide ribosomal RNA is filed under the name bacterium. Its description in RNAcentral is "partial 16S ribosomal RNA". It matches the Rfam family "Bacterial small subunit ribosomal RNA", at positions 355 to 776 of the family's 1533-position model. The record is from RNAcentral.
UAGGGAAUCUUCGGCAAUGGGGGCAACCCUGACCGAGCAACGCCGCGUGAGUGAAGUAGGUUUUCGGAUCGUAAAGCUCUGUUGUAAGAGAAGAACGUGUGUGAGAGUGGAAAGUUCACACAGUGACGGUAACUUACCAGAAAGGGACGGCUAACUACGUGCCAGCAGCCGCGGUAAUACGUAGGUCCCGAGCAUUGUCCGGAUUUAUUGGGCGUAAAGCGAGCGCAGGCGGUUUAAUAAGUCUGAAGUUAAAGGCAGUGGCUUAACCAUUGUUCGCUUUGGAAACUUUUAAACUUGAGUGCAGGAGGGGAGAGUGGAAUUCCAUGUGUAGCGGUGAAAUGCGUAGAUAUAUGGAGGAACACCGGUGGCGAAAGCGGCUCUCUGGUCUGUAACUGACGCUGAGGCUCGAAAGCGUGGGGAGCAAACAGG